AAUAUUGUGGGAUUUUAGUGCUGUUUUUGUCAAAGUUCUUAUUUUCAGAUUUUUAAAGGUUUGAAUGAAGUUAUAUGACAAAUAUUGAAGUUUAUGUAUUUGACUAAAUUCGGUAUAGGGGUUGUCUACGAAUAAGGUAGUGAUGUUAAGGAAGUGCAAGUGAUUUAAUAAAUUUUAUAAUGAAUGGUAAUUAGUUGAUAAAUUGUUAGAGAGAAGAAAAUUUGGGGAAUUCAUUCAAGUAUCGAGAAAUGGAGAUUCAAGAGAAAAUUUGAAAGUUGAGGAAUUAAGUGGUGACUUUGCAUUAGUUUAGUUGUCAUAUUUUAAUUUGAG
This 330-nucleotide long non-coding RNA is filed under the name Olea europaea (common olive). Its description in RNAcentral is "long non-coding RNA (OEUR_LNC012605)". The record is from RNAcentral. Lineage: Eukaryota; Viridiplantae; Streptophyta; Magnoliopsida; Lamiales; Oleaceae.